UUCCUGUCCAACGAAAGUAAAGAAAGCUAAACAAAAUGAAAAUGUGCCUACCUUGUAAAACAUGAAUCAUGUUUAGAAAGUCCAUUGACAAAUUGGUUUUGGUAUCGAAAUCUGCAAAAACUAUUGCAUAUACAAGAAGAAGCAAGUUUAGAGAAUCAUCCUUUUUGGUAAAUUGGAUGAUAAAAUCAAUGAAUUUAUACACUGUCAACCUCUAUAGACAAAACUUCCACACCCCACAAGAAAAAGUGGAAAUGACUCGUUACUGUUUUCAUAUUCUUCUAUUUUUGAACCAUUUUUAACUCUCAAAUUGCAAUUGGGAAUUGUAGGAGAUGACCUCAUAAUACCUACGAGUCUUAAUUUCUUCCUGAUUUAGGAAUGUUUGGACUAAAAAUGAAAGUAAAGUUGCUGAGAGAUGACGAAAGUCAUUCUUUGAUGCCUAACUCAAUGGAUCCAUGACUGUUGACUAUUAAAUUUUAACUGAGAAAUUUUGAAGAAACUAAUAAUGCCAUAUUCCAGGUAAUAAAGAACCUACAAAAUGCCUNGUUGACUAUUAAAUUUUAACUGAGAAAUUUUGAAGAAACUAAUAAUGCCAUAUUCCAGGUAAUAAAGAACCUACAAAAUGCCUCUAUUUGUGUAAAAUAGAAAGUUACUAGAAAGUUAUAUUUUCUAUUCAGUCAAAGCCUAACUUCAAUUUCUACCACACAUUCACAACUACUACCGUUUCGUGGAACCAUCCAAUACUAUUCCUCCUAAAAACGUUAAUAAUAAUUUUAUCCGAACACUUGUAUUGAAUCCAGAAAGUAGUAAUUAUGACCUACUCAACUUCUGCAAACAUGCUUCUUGUUUGGCUAAGAAGCAUAAGCAUAAAAAUAAGUUCAAAAUGCUUUUAAGCAAGUUUUUGUUUUAUGGGUGAAGCAAGGUCUUCAGCAGUAGCUCUCAUCCAAGUGUAAAGUCUUUAAGAACAUACCA
Molecule: long non-coding RNA, 969 nt
Filed under: Olea europaea (common olive)
Lineage: Eukaryota; Viridiplantae; Streptophyta; Magnoliopsida; Lamiales; Oleaceae
Description: long non-coding RNA (OEUR_LNC001264)
Source: RNAcentral